AUGGCGCAUCUGGCCAGAGGAGAACGGAGCGGCUGCAUCUCCUGGCAACGGCAGUGGGGGCGGGCGAGGUUGCAAGGUGACGGGCUGAGGCGGCUGCGGUGCCAGCGGAUGGAGGAGCCGCUCUCAGGUCGAGUUGGGGCUGGCAAGACUGCAGGGCGACGGCCCCAGGCGGGGGUGCAAGGAUCCGGUCGGUGUGCUGUUGCUGCCGCCGACGGACAGAAGAGGCGCCUUCGGCCGGGUCGAAGUGGCAGCGCUGUCGGUGAUGCCAAGGGCAAGGAAAUGGGCAAGCGAGACCAGAGAGGGAAGGAACAGGGCGUGGCCUCACACUCGUCGUCAGCUUCACCGUUACUUGCAGCUGAAGAAGACAGAUACCAGCAGCCGAUGGCGCCGUCCCAGCUGGUGUUGCUUACCACAGGCUCUGAGGUAUGGUAG
Molecule: ribosomal RNA, 432 nt
Filed under: Triticum aestivum (bread wheat)
Lineage: Eukaryota; Viridiplantae; Streptophyta; Magnoliopsida; Poales; Poaceae
Description: partial small subunit ribosomal RNA
Source: RNAcentral